GCGCGAGAGCUGCGACGCGCGGAUCUCAUUGCUUCUCCUCUCGUCCUGUUAAUUGCAAAACGAGGCGACUUCGCGCGAACAACGGCGAGGGGGAAUAACACCGAGACUGUUUGUUACCCUCGCGACCCGAGGAAAGUAGAACGUUCGAUUCUGAGCAUCAAGAUCGUCGUACCAUUUGCGAGGCGAUGUGGUCUCCGAGGAUUCGUGGAUGAGGAUGGUCGCGCGGCAUCGCGUUCUUACGGGGCCUCGGACACGGGAAAAAGCCCCGCGUCAGCCUCGACAAUUGCUGUCCCAUACAACAUGCAACCAGCCAACCGACCGACCGACGACGAGCAACGUCGCGAACGAACUGCUCCUUUUGCGGGGGUGGCGGAUUAUCGACCCGGGGGUUGUGACGAGGGGGAACUCGCUUUCGCACUCGGUCAUCCCCGUGGCUACCGUCUGCACCCCCUCCCUCUCCGCCGUUUGGCCAUGGAAACGAGGGCGAUGUCUUUGAGAAGUGUGGAAAAGGAAGUAAGAAAGUAGACGAUCGCGAAAGAAUCUCUGAUCUUUGAACGGACAUAUAUCUUCGUGAAUUUUUGAAGUGAAUAAACUCAAAGUGCCGCUGUGACUAGUAGCAAUAGUAGCCAUAGAAGUGCAGCUAGUUGGAGCUAGGCUAGUUCUCAACAUCAUCUAACGUGGAUCCAAAAAGUUCUUGUGUGACUCCGCGUAUCAAAGAGGCUUCCUAUCUAUUCUUUGGGGAAAACGCAACUAGAUUUUUGGGCCAAAUUUGUGAUUAUACCAGCAGUUAAAUUUUGAAUUUACGUUUCUCGCCCUCUUUGUAUUGACCAAGAAACAAUUCGGCGCUAGUAAUUCAGUUUGUUUCCAUUUUUUUUCCGUGGGCCAAGCUCAGAUUGGAAGGCCUUGAGGGCCGGAUCCGGUCCGCAGGCGGCCAAUUGCGUAUCUCCCUUAGGGCCUUAGCAGACAAAGGCUAUUGGUCAGUCGUGACUGUAUUACUGCCUGCCGGAGGCCUACACGCCAUUACAAAGACGAAGAUGGACCUUAGCAGAAUGGCUGAUUACUUUCGAGACAAUGUUUUAUGCAAGUCUUUGUUUUAAGUAACGCACAGUAACUGUCUUGUAUCUCAAGUCCUAAAUGUACGAGGACAACGAUUGCAACGAAUAAACAAAGGUUGUGGAAGCCUUCAGGCCAAGAUGCUCUCCGUGGGUCGCCCAAUCCCAUCGUGAGGUGGCGACCGAGGCGGAGCAACCCAAUAGAAACCGACAAUUUUUGGGGGGAUUUGAGCCCGGAUCUUCGGCUCAUUGGAACAGCGUAUCUCAUUAUCCCCACUGAGAUUAAGUAUCAAACGAAGUACGGUACAACUUUUUUGUUGUCGCAUUCUCCCCAUUCGUCCUACUUAGUUUCGUCGAAUUUUCAUUCCCACGGUUGAAGAAACGCCUUGCUCGGGAGAGAUUUUCGAACGAAGAAGUAAAAGAGACAGUUGUGACGGAUAUUUUGUACCAUUUGACGAAUCGAAGUUUCGUAAUGCGAUAAUGAGACCAGGAAGCAUACGUGACACAAACGCGUCGAUGUAAAGAAAAAUUACGGUGAAAA
Vollenhovia emeryi is the source of this 1593-nucleotide long non-coding RNA. RefSeq lists it as uncharacterized. The transcript is spliced from 3 exons. Lineage: Eukaryota; Metazoa; Arthropoda; Insecta; Hymenoptera; Formicidae. The record is from RefSeq and is a predicted model, not a curated record.